Molecule: ribosomal RNA, 465 nt
Filed under: Vreelandella stevensii
Lineage: Bacteria; Pseudomonadati; Pseudomonadota; Gammaproteobacteria; Oceanospirillales; Halomonadaceae
Description: partial 16S ribosomal RNA
Rfam family: Bacterial small subunit ribosomal RNA
Source: RNAcentral
CCUACGGGCGGCUGCAGUGGGGAAUAUUGGACAAUGGGGGGAACCCUGAUCCAGCCAUGCCGCGUGUGUGAAGAAGGCCCUCGGGUUGUAAAGCACUUUCAGUGAGGAAGAACGCCUGGUGGUUAAUACCCAUCAGGAAAGACAUCACUCACAGAAGAAGCACCGGCUAACUCCGUGCCAGCAGCCGCGGUAAUACGGAGGGUGCGAGCGUUAAUCGGAAUUACUGGGCGUAAAGCGCGCGUAGGUGGCUUGAUAAGCCGGUUGUGAAAGCCCCGGGCUCAACCUGGGAACGGCAUCCGGAACUGUCAAGCUAGAGUGCAGGGGAGGAAGGUAGAAUUCCCGGUGUAGCGGUGAAAUGCGUAGAGAUCGGGAGGAAUACCAGUGGCGAAGGCGGCCUUCUGGACUGACACUGACACUGAGGUGCGAAAGCGUGGGUAGCAAACAGGAUUAGAUACCCUUGUAGUC